AUACGACCAUAGGGUGUGGAAAACAGGGCUUCCCGUCCGCUCAGCCGUACUUAAGCCACACGCCGGGAGGUUAGUAGUUGGGUGGGUGACCACCAGCGAAUCCCUCCUGUUGUAU
RNAcentral lists this ribosomal RNA (115 nucleotides) under Aspergillus flavus. RNAcentral also lists the same sequence under 1 other name. The record is from RNAcentral. Lineage: Eukaryota; Fungi; Ascomycota; Eurotiomycetes; Eurotiales; Aspergillaceae.